This 17107-nucleotide long non-coding RNA is filed under the name Eucalyptus grandis. Its description in RNAcentral is "long non-coding RNA (EGRA_LNC006595)". The record is from RNAcentral. Lineage: Eukaryota; Viridiplantae; Streptophyta; Magnoliopsida; Myrtales; Myrtaceae.
CAAGUUAAUAUGGUGUCAUUAUGCCUUGAUGCAUUUUUUAUCUUUGAAUUGGGAAUACAUCACCUUGGGCAUGUUUUGAAAAAUCUGACUAGGCAAGCUUUGCACUUAUUCAUGAAUGUGUCUCGGCCUCCUCACUUUCCCUUCUGAGUGUUGACAAAAGCCUUCCUGCUUCUUUGAUAAUUAUAAGAUCUGUUGAGAAGCAUAUUCCAUGAAAUUGCAUUCUUUGUGCUAGCUCUACGCUCCACAUGUGAAGACUUUGUGUUUGUGUCUCGCCUUAUCAUUCUUCUGGGCUCAAUGCUCCUACUCUCACCCCAACGAGGAGAUGCAGUUGUCUCCACUUUGUACCUUGAGGCCAUUAGAAAAUGAUGUUCAUUGGCAAAUUGCAUUCGCAACUUAUCUAACACCACUCACCAAUGCAACUUCCAAGCCCAUAUGAGUUUGACUCAUACUCACUUAUGAAGCUGCUAUGUCAUUGAAGGAAACCUUAUUCUGUUAGUGUGGAUUGUUCCAGAGGGAAAAUGGUAGCAAACUAAUUGAUGCAAUCGUAUACUAUGUAAAUGCAUUGGCUGCUAAGCAGCCCCUUGUGCUAGAACUUCAGGCAUACAAUGUUAACUGGACUUUGAUUUUUAGAAUCAGACACUUUGUAUGUGUACUUUUAUAAGCAUAUGCAUGAAUUGGUACUCUUCCCUAAUUUUGUUGAUGCUUUUGCAUGUACAUUAUAUAGUUUAAUGAUAUAAGUGACUAGUUGGUUGUAGAAUUAUGUGGGUUUACAGCCAAUAGUUCUAAAAGCUUAAACUAAUCGAUAGAGGGAGCCCACAUGCAUAUAAGGCCCAUUGAUAUACCAUGGACAAGUAACGUGGGAUAUUUUAAUGUGGAAUUGACAAGGGGAGGGCCCCACACGUGGCAUAAACUGAGGUGAAAUUUGGCUCUAAUAUAAUGUUAAGUCCAACAUAAAACGCUUAAGUUGUUAGAAGAGAGCAUGGUUUAAUAUUUUUGUACUCUUAACACUCUCCCUUACAUGGUGGUUGGACUUUGACCUAAGACUUAAGCAUGAAAAUAUAUAAUCGGGGAGGUAAAUGGCGGCUACAAAAAUUUGAAUUCAGGACCUCUCAUUCUAAUACUAUGUAAAGCUUGAACUAUGAGAAAAUGGUAUAAUUUAAUUUAAUGGUUCUCUUCUUAUCUUUGUGGGAAUUUGACAGGUAUUACAUCUCCCAGCAAUUGACAGAUAAGAGUGAUGUCUAUAGUUUCGGCGUCAUUCUUCUUGAAUUGAUAUCAGGUCGAGAAGCAAUUUCUAACGAAAGCUUCGGUGUGAACUGUCGCAACAUAGUCCAGUGGGUAAGUCCAGUGUAAUAAGUACUAUGAAACCUUCAUUUUUAAUUUCAAAGCGAAAUCUGGCACGUGUAUGUUCCUUCACAUGUUGUACUCUCUAAUUAUAGGCGAGACUACACAUAGAGAGUGGGGACAUCCAAGGCAUCAUCGAUCCGAACCUACGUGAGGACUACGACAUCCAGUCGAUGUGGAAGAUAGCGGAGAAGGCUCUGAUGUGCGUCCAGCCCCACGGGCACAUGAGGCCAUCGAUCUCGGAGGUUCUCAAGGAGAUCCAAGACGCAUUGUUGAUCGAGAGAGAAGCCUUGGCGGCGCGAGAGGGCCUGUCGGAUCUGUCAAGGAACUCGUUCCACUCGUCUGUCAACAUGGAUGCCUUUGAUAUUCCUGGGACUGAGAACUACGUAGCGAUCGACGAGUCUAUUGCGCAGCCAACUGCUCGGUAGAGCUUCAUCUUCUCUUUCUUUUAAUUCCUUGUAAUAUUUCCUGUUCAUUCUUGGGAGCGGCUGGUGAUUGUAUUCCUUGUUGUCUGGGGUUAAGGUGAAGUAUCUGGUGAUCAUGAUUAGAAUUGCCUGCCUAGUUGAUCUACCCCGGUGAACCGUGGUGAGAUCUCUUUCUGUCGGUUGGUUAUAUCAAGAUAUGUGCUAGCUAGCCCAGUUGAUACGCUUGGUUAUAUAAAGAUAAGGGUUUAGCCCAGAACAUUUAAGUGGGAAUUGUUUUCUAUCACUCUUACUCGACGCCAUGGUUCGAGUAAUUAUAUCUGUGCAUUCUCUUGAUUCCAAUGCUGAAAGCAAAAUCCUGGUGGAAUGAUGAACUGCCACACCUGAUUGGAGUUGGGAUUAUUCGGGUAUUCAUAGUCUUUGCUGAUAAAAAGGGGAAAAAAUGAAUAUUGUGUCAGAUGGACUCCCAGGUUUUAAAAAUGAUGUUAAUAUGUAAUGACUCAUGUAAUAAAUUUAUAAUUCAUUAAGUGAUAUGAUAAAUUCUGUGGGUUGGCUUUCUGACGGAUGCUUUUGUCUUGUCAUUUAGUAAACCAAUUUCAUAAACAAGUCCUUCCGUCCCUAGCAUUUUGCUUUUGCUACGUGUUGGGUCCUAAUGAGCAAUGCUGGAGAUACAAAAAUUGCUCUGCUAGAUUGAUUUACUAAGUGGUGGCGCAAGUCUCUAAGUGGAUAUUAAAUUUAGUGGGCGUUGAAGCAUUUAAAUAUUAAAUUUUAUGCUCAUCUAGGGCCUAAGGUAAUGACCUCAGGUGGCAUGAUCCUGUUGACCCCAAAGUCGAGGUCGUGUGACCCCAGUAAGGGCCGCCCGUGCAACCUCAGUGAGGGGUGCCUAAGGUCGCAUGAGGUGGAAAUAGCGAGGGUAAACAUUAAAUUUCGAGAGUUUAUCAAGAGGAAAGUCGGAAGAAAAAAACUGAAUAGUAUUUCAUAAAUGCUUGAAGCCCAAAGCUUGGUAGAACUUGUAUUGAGCUAAGGGUCUUUAGAGAACUUUGAAAAUGCAAUCGCAUGUCUCCAAAACUAGCCAAAAAAAUUGUCAAACGCCAGUGGCGUAUGGUCGGGGGCCUUCAGAGCCCAAAACCUAAUUGUAAAGUACAACCAAAUGCAUUUUUUGUUGAAUCGUAAAGAGGGUGAAAUGAAUAAAGAAGGAAAAGAGGACGAAACCCUUUUUAAUGUUAUGUUGGGAAGAAAAGCAAAAGAGGAAAGAGAAGAAAGUGAGGGAAAAGAAAUUGGGCAUGGAGAGAAUACUUUGGCCUUCUGUUCUUGGAGAUAAAAAAUAUUGGUGGAUGAAAUAUGGAGAGUUUUCAAAAGGAGAAAGGUAAAAUAGGGUUUUAGGACCUUUUUAAUAUCCUAAGAUGUAAAUUUUGAAAAUUAUGCUCCCCAUGUUUUUGUCCUAGUCAUGCUUCCCAUCCUUUAAAUUUCUCUCUCUCUCUCUCCAUCUUCAAUUUACUCCCUCAAAAGGCAUUUGGCAAGAUCAAAGAAGUCGGAACUUUUUCUAUAAAAAUAUCUUUAAACUAGACAUAAAACAUGAAAAGCAAUAAAUUCCAGCGAUAUCAAAUGGGGAUAAUAUGUUUCGACCAAAAAAAAAAAGAAAUGGGGAUAAUACAAUCAUACUUAAGAUGUAAAUGUAUAAGAGGCAUUGAAUCCUCAAAGAACAUAAUUUACCAAGAAAGUUUGGUAUAGUCAUCACUUUUACUUCUCAUAUUUAAAGGAUUUCAAUUUUAAAAAAAAAUAAAAUGCAAUGAUAGUUUCCUAUCAACGAAAUCGAUCUAAAUGAGUAAACUUACUCAAUUGAAUCCCCAAGUGGAGUUCGUAAACAUUCGCAGUAUAAAUGGUUGGAUUACUCGAUUUUCAAAGCAUUUGUUGCACGUGUUAGAACAAAACUCAGUGACUAAAUGUUUCACAAAGAUCAUCUCUCUAGUUAUAUAAAAACCCAAAGGCAUCAAUUAAGAGAAAUCCUUCUGACAAAAUCCGACCAAUAAUUAAUGAGUUUAUCGGUAACCUUAGAAAAUGCGAAAAACGGUGUGAAUAUUAUAUGAAUCGCAUGCUUCGGAUGAAACAGAUCAACCAAUGAUGUGGCGAGAACAAGGGGACAGAAUAUACUCGACGUAGUCCAAGUCCAUCCCUCUUCCACUCGAGCAGUUCUUCCCUACACCUCGGCCUACGCGUUUAACUCCAUCUCAGCCUUAGAUGAAGCGGGUCGGAAGCGGGGCCCACAUGAUCUAACGAUUAAAAUCCAGUGGGCUCACGUGCAAGAACUCCGUCUCUCUCUGUCGUCAUCCUCUCCUGCUCCUCUCCUUCUUCGUCGUCCAGUCAUCGUCCUCUCGUCGUCAUCGUCGAAAUCGUCGUCAUUGUCGCAUCGCUCUCUCUCUCUCUCUCCCCUCGUCCUGCUCUUUUUCUGAGCAGAGCCGAGCAAGGAGAAAGCAGGGCUGCCGUCGUCUUGCCUCCCUAUCUCUCUCUGUCUCUCUGUCUCUCUAGAGAGAGCGUUACGCAUUGUGCCAGGCUCGAAGCAACAGGCGGCGACGGCUUCAUCUUCUACACUGCACGACUCUGCCCCUCUGUUUUCCCGUCCUCUUCUUUCAGCUGGGGGUUUAAAGGUGCUGUCUUGACGCGCGAGACGAGGUACGAUAUGGCGAUUGAUCUCUCUCUCUCUCUCUCUCUCUCUCUCUUUUUCUGGGCUCUUGGCUCGAUUGUUUAAUCUGAUUUCAGUGUUGAAAUCUUGUAGAUUGAUGAAUUUGAUGGAGGGGACCGGAAGGCAUCGUUGGACAUGACUGAGGAUGAAAUGGUGUGGAUGGAUAUACCGGACGAGAUAAAUUCAUGUCCAUGUAUUUGCUGACUUGUAUUUUGGUUUGGACCUCUAAUUCAAAUAAACGCGUGUGCAUUUUCAACGCGAUGCGCGAAAUCAGCGCCUGCUGAGUGAUUCUCACUUGUCGUCCGGCAGAGAGAAGCAGGAAUCGCAUGACUGCAAGUUCUGAACUUGAAACAGAAUACUGCAGAGAUAAAGGAGGACGGGAAUAGUCAUCUUUUGCCAUACAUGGAUUGUGUUAGUAAUGUGGGUGAGUGUAUGACAGCCGCACCCAUUUUGCAUUAUGAUGAUUUUAGGGAUGAAACGCGGAGGUAUGAAAGAUCGGCAGAAUCAGGUCGAGAGAUCAGUAUAUUGGAUCUUGUCUGGUGCAAAAUAAGGGCCCUUAUUGGUGGCCAGGGAAGCUAAUUGGUUGCUCUGCCGGAGUGACAAAGGAUUAUUUUGUGGUGGCAUGUUUUGGGGAUCAGGAACGUGCUCCUGAUCGAGUUUCGCUGAUAAAGCCAUUGUGGGAACAUUUCCCACUGAUGGAGAAGCAAAGCGGCUUGGACAAGCUCCGUCAUGCAGUGGACUGUGCUCUCGGCGAACUCUCUAGGUGGGUGGAAUACGUGCUGACUUGCCGGUGUGUGCCCAGGGAAGUGCAAACCAGGUUCGAAGCUCAGGGUGAAGCUAAUCUGCUUUGGUGAAAAAUUCAAGUCAACAGGGCACUGAAGAUAGUGUCCUGAGUACGGCUUCUUUUACACCUCGAGAACUUGUCAAGUAUAUAAAAAAAUGGGGUGUCUCGCCUUGUGAUGGACCUAGCAGACUCCUCUUUCCGUGGCAAAGAGUCAACUGUUGGCCUUCUCCCGAUGGAAGGCGUUUUCUCGGCUACCUGAAUUCAUAUCGUUCAGUGGGAAGUUGGAGAACGAGACCGAUAUGACUCCAUUAGGAGAUUGUUAUCAGAACCCUACAGAGAUUCAUGGCUCCAAUCCAGAGUUUUGGGGCUGUCAUGGGAUGCCAGUGGUGAAGACAGGAUGUUGCAUAAGCAACUUGAGUGAGCGUAAGAACAGUUUCCAAGACGGAGUGCAUCCUGGAAACAAGAGAAAGACCUGCCUUGCCUUGUGCACUGAGAACUGUCUGUGUACUUCAACCGAUGAAGUUGGGUCCGUCAAAAGAUCUCGUGGGAGCUCCUUUUUGUUUGGCAAAACAGCUGCUCCUAAUGAAUCAGUAUCACCAUGUACAGGUGCUCUGACGAAGAUUAGCACGGACCAAUCUGUGCACAUGUUCGAGCAAAAUCACAUGGGAAUGCUUGAGGUCCAGAGGAAAACAGAAUGUCACAUAAACAACUCAAAUGAGCUUAAGCACAUCCCGUUUAAUGUGGUGCGUCCUGGAAGAAAGAGGAAGAGCUUCCCAGCCCCGUCAGCAAAGAAUUGUCAGCAUAUCUCGACAGAUGAAGUUGGGACAGAUAAAGGAGCUUGUGGGAACUAGUUUGGCAAAGCCGCUGGUCUGAAUGAAUCAGUAUCAGCAUGUACAGGUGCUCCGACCACGAUUAGCGUGGACCAAUCCAUGCAGUUCAAGCAAAAUCAUAGAGCAAUGCGCAGAAUCCAUAAGGUUGCAAGUGAAUCGAAUGGGUCACUUUCAUUGGAGGAGCAUCUUAAAUAAAGUCCCUCAGGUAGGAGCAACAUUAACGCCCAUUCUGGUCUCAUUCCUCAUGAUUCCUGGAGUAGAAAACACCUCCUUGGAUAUGCCUCUCCUAAUCAGAAGCUGUUGCGGCUGUCUUUUUUCCGACUUGCGCAGUGAGACACUUUUCGGAAUUCAGAAAUUCGGUUGUUCCGGAUCAUCUCCCAUUGAAUUCGUGUGGAGAGUCUGCACAAGAAGCAUCUAUUGUUAAAAUUCAGAGUACUUUGACAAACUUUAGUGUCGCAGAACCUUUGGAUCUCAAGUGCUUCAAGGAUUCUGUCAGGACCAGCACAAUAAUUAGUAGCAUUCAGGAACCGCGACUGCCGCUUGAAAAUUGGAAUGCGGGGGAUUCUCUGCUUAAAACCCCUCGUGAGAGAGGCUGUUCCUUCCGUGGUACCUAAAAUGGAUAUGAAAUCCCUUACUAUAUGCUCAAUAUUGUAAGAGAGAGACAGAGAGAGGCAACGACAGGAGUGACCCUAAACAAAAGUGAUGAUCAAUGCUAGAACUAGCGGUGUUCAAGAUUGGUGAUUGCAUCGUGAUGGUGGAUAUUUUUAUUUUUGCCGAUUGAUGCGUCUCCUUUAAAAAGUAGAAAAUUACUCGUUAGAAAACAACGUGUCUUUUAACUAAUUCGUGACGUUAAUAUAAUGGGUAAGUGAGCAUACAUCGUUAGGACUUGGGUUACCUUAAUUUAGGUAAAGAAAAGGUAAAUAAAGGAGAGCGGGAACUUUUUACGAUUCAAUGUCAAAAGCAGAAAAAGAAAAGGAGACUUGGGUUACCUUAAUUUAGGUAAAGAAAAGGUAAAUAAAGGAGAGCGGGAACUUUUUACGAUUCAAUGUCAAAAGCAGAAAAAGAAAAGGAGACUUGUGACUUAUGUGCUCGAAUGGUGGGCCAGGUAAACGCUCGUUAUCCUGCUUUUAAAGACUUUUCUCCCAUAUUGGAAUCAUCUCCCCUACGCUUACGUUUGGGUGGUUAAAAUAAAAUUUAAGAUAUGAUAAAAUUUAUCCUAUCUUACAUUUAAUAUUUAUUUAAAAUAGAAUAAAGUCGGACAUAAAAUGAUAUAGGCCGGAUAAAAUUCUUCCAUAAGAAAUGUGAGAUUAAGGUAGAUAAAAUUUAUAUUAUCUAAAAUAGGAAAAGUUUUUUUGCUCAAAUAACAAACUUAUUAAAUUAACAAAUUUAAAAUUAUAUUUCAGUAUAAAUAAUAUUUAAAUUCUAAUAUAAUAAAUUCAAAAUAACAAUUUAUAUUUAAUUUAAUCUUAAUUUUAUUUACAUAUUUGAAUUUAAUUUUAUCUUAUAAAAUAAAUUCAAUAUAUAAAAUUCAUAUAUUUGUUACAUAUUUUAGGUGUUUUAGUAUUUUAGGUGUAUUAGUACAAUUUCUAUUUAAAAAAAUUAUUAGAGAAUGAUGGAAGGGAAAGAAAGAAAUAAAAAAAGAAAUUACUUAAAAAAUAAAGGAAAAUAAAAUAAAAAUAAAGUAAACAAAAGUGUCGCAAUAUACUUUUACCAUCUCUAUUUGUAAAAUUUGUGGUUCAUUUAUAUCGAUAUGUCAUUUACAGCAAUCAAUAUAUAUGAUAUGAUGUGACUAUAUCCAACUUUAUUAAUACAAUUACCAAACAAUUGAUGGGAUAUAACAAAAUUUCCUAGAUUUCAUAUCCUUCUAGUCUACUCCUAUCUUGUUUGGAAAUCCUAAAGACCAAACGUAACCCAAAGGGACAAACCCUUCUUAUCUAGAAUCAUCUUUUGGCUUUGAGUGUGGCAUUUGGAUUGGCUCCUAUCUUUUGUUUGGCAAAGAAUGCAUAAUGGGAUUCGGACGAAACAGGGACUAAUCUCAUCCGUUACUGAAAUAUUCAACUGAAGAUGCAUUAUCAAUUACUCAUUUGGUAAGCUCAUCACCACUGUCCCACUCGAUACAAGCGAAGAAACCUAAACAAACUCAACCCUCAUCUAUAUAGACUAACCAAGAUUUAUUGAGAUUAAGAUAGAUUGGUUUGAGACGUAUGGUAUUGAUGUGAAAUGGUAAAUUGUAGUCUACAUGGCUAGUUGCUUUCUUUUCUUCCGUAAUUUUUGGAAGAAAAAACUACUAUACUACUGGUAAUCUUACUUAUGAAUUCCCUCAAAAAUUAAAAGAUGAAAGAUAACUAUUCUAAUUUUCAAAAGAUUAAGAAAACAUCAUAAAAUAACAUGUUUACUUUUUGAAAGAUUUUAUGCAUAUUGCAUUAGAUAAAAGUUAAAACAUAUGAGUGGCAAAUUUUUCAAAGAGAUAAAAAAUAAAAUGUAGUAAUCAUCCUAAAUCAUAAAAAUUAGUUGUGUAAACGGGAUGGCAAAUGGACCUGUGAAGUCUGGUUUGUAUAAAAAAGAAAUUCAAAGGGAGAAACAAAAAAAAAAAAUGGACAAAUUGGGAGGUUGGUAUUUAAAAUUUCCAUUUCAACCAUCAGCUAACGUUUCUUCAUCUACGAAACAAAUGUUUGUAUAAUCUAAUAGAUUAUAUCUAUGAUAAAAAUUAGUGUGGAGAAUUGGCCAACGAAUAAUGCGUCAAUGACUAGAUUAUCAAGAAAGUAAAAAAAAAAAAAAUCAAAAAAGAGUGUCGCAAUAUCAUAAAAAAUAAACGAUAAAUUGAAAAGGCAAAUAAAAAAGAUAUAAAAUCUAGAAAUAAAAAUAGCCCCCACACAGAUGAUACAAAUCUGUAUUUGAUGGUUGGUGUGGCUAUAGGUUUCAUACAACUAUAAAUUGAUCCGAUGGAAAAGGUCUUAAAUAAAAAAUAAAUUAAAUUAAAUAAGAUAAGAGCGUUGCAUCGAGCUACAGGAUAGUCAAAAGUAAAUUUUUUUCUAAUGUACGAGUUAAUGUCAAAAGUGGAAACCCUGACUUCUAAUCCGGUUUAUUCAAGCAACCGAUCCCCGUGUGUUUUAUACCCUCGCUUUUGAAGUAAACGGUUUGACUGGGAAGUCAACCAUCUUGUCCUCGUCUACUUCAACACAAGUCCCGAUCGCCACUAUUGUCAAUAGUAAUUCUCGCAGAUGGAUGGAGGUCCCCCGCUUCGAGAAAAUAUUGGAUACGUUUAGUCCUCCAACCUCCAACGUGGCAAAUAAGAAGAGACCUCAAAUUGCGCCACGCGUCCAGCGUGCCCCACAUUGUCGGGGAAAUUUCCCCCAUUUUUCUCUCUCCUCUCUGCACUCUCCCCCCUCUGCACGGUUUCUCCCCAAUUUUCUCUCUCCCUCCUCUGCACACUCUCUCGCCCGAAUCUCUAUCUCCGAUCGCUUUUUUUUUUUUUUUUUUUUGUGGAUUUCUAUGUGUUUCCAAUCCGACCCAUUUUAGGCCGCUUUUGCCUUCACCGGCGCUAGGAAUCGGGGCUUCUUGGAGGGACGUGGGUUCUCCACCUCGUCGUCCACGUUGCCGGAGACUGCGAACCGGGGGGAGAACUCCGGGAGUGCCGGGGUGUUCAGAUUGAACUCGCGGUGCCCCUGGCUCUGCGUAUGAGUUGACCCCACGCCCUCCGAGACGCUCACCCUGUUGGCAGUCGAGGCGGCGGCGACGGCGGCUGAGGAGGCAGGAGUGGGGGCCUCAUAGUGGUACCUCGUGCCCACCGAGAGGUUGGCCUGUGGGGAAGCACAGAUCGAGAACUCGUGCACCUUCCCGGACAUACCGGAGGAGGUGGUCGUCGCGGAGGUGGAGCUGGCCGGCUGUUCGUCCGCACCGGCGAAGAGAAAGUGUGUUGGGAGGAGAGAGGAGAGAGAAAAGUGAGAAGAGUCGGGCGAGAGAGCGUGCAGAGGAGGGAAAGAGAAGAGAGAGGAGAGAGGAAGGUGGGGAGAAAUUCAUCGAGAGAGCGUGCAGAGUGGGGAGAGAGGAGAAGAAAAGUGGGGGAAAAUUUCCUGAUAAUGGGAGCCCACGCUGGACACGUGGUGCAAUUAAAAUUGCUUUCUUAUUUGCCGCGUUGGAGUACGAGACGUGCUCAAUAUUUUCCCCCCAAAAAGAUUAAACGAUGGCUGACGAAGAUCUCGUCUUGUUCCUAAGUUUCCUCCUCUCUCCGUAAGCGAGUCGUCGCCAAAGUCCAGCUUCCACACACUGUCGCCUCCAGUCCCACUUUCCGCGUGCACAGGCCACCACCACAGCUCCGUCUCUCCAGUUUUAUCACGACGAAGCUCGACAGGUGAAAGCAAUGAUGGAACGAGCAGAUUUGAAGCCUUUCUUGCGGUUUAUGGUGAUGGCGAUUUGUGGCCCGCUCUUUCUGUAAAUGGCAAGAAGCUGAGCAGUUCCUUCUUCUCCUCUCACGGGAUUAUUUUUGGGAACUCUCUGCUGGAACUACAGCUUCCGCCAUUACCAAACCUUCCCCUCUCUCUCUCCUGUAAAGCGACUCCUUUUCUUGGUCCUUCAAAAUAAAUAGAAAAAGGGCUUCGCUCCACUGGCCCUCUCUUUCUCCCUCUGUGUUCUUUUUUUAGUCCGAACGUUGCUGACACGUUCGGACUGGCUUUUCUCCGUUUCUUUCUUCUGGGCAAUCUUUCCUUUCCCUCUCCCUCUCUCUCUCUGGGACUCGCGGAGAAGACACGGAUAUGGGAAGAGGACUCUUCCUGUUCUUGCUCGUCUUCUACACUUCGGUUCUCAUGGAGCCCUCCACUGCUCAGAUGCCAGGUUCUCUCUCUCCGCCCCUGUUGAAUCUCCUGAUUGCCUUUACUUUGGUGAAAGCCAAAGAAUCUUGAAAUUAAGACGUGACGUGCCUUCAUCAUUUUAUAUUAAUUUGGUAUGACUGAGUAGUUUUGAGAAGUUCUUUGGGUGAUGAUCCUUACCCUUAGUUUUCGUUCUUCUGAAGGCUCCUCCUUUUGCUUGCUUAUUUCUGUUGUAAGAAUCACCUGUCGCUGUUUGCUUCCACGUGCAAAUUAUGCGGUUGCUCUGUUGAGGUUGAGCAUUCCUCCGUGCAUCUGCACGUGCAAUCUUGUGACUGCCGGUCGUUUCUGUGUUUAAUUUCAAUGCGUUUCUUCGUCCUCUGCUUGUACCGAAGAAAUUGUAGAACGAAUCGUUCCUGUGUAAACGAAAAUGUGUGGUCUUCCUGUCUUGUUAAAAAUUCUAUUUAGCAUCUAUGUGAAAGUUCAUAGCACAAUCUGUUAUAGACAGACGAAGGUGUUUUUAUUUUGAUGUUUUGAGUGAGUGAAUUGAAGAAUCAAAGACAUAUCAAGAUUGGUACCUCAUUGCCCCAGGUCAAUUUACUGGUAAUUUGAAUAGCCAGUGAUUGUUAUUUUUCUAAUAUAUGGACAUUAAGAGCAUCAUAACCUUUAUCAUACCCCUGUUAAUUUCAUGACAUAUUUCAGGUAAAGAAACGUUACACUUCUUUGAGACAAGAUUGCUGCUUUUUUGCAGUCCUUUGUUGAUGAGAUACAGAUUUCCCGCAUCUGCUUCACAAUUUGCUGAUACACAUCACUUUUUUGCGUUGGCCAACUGAUAUGCAUGAUUUCAUUCGGCAGGUUUUGUUAGCUUGGAUUGUGGAGGAUCUCAGAGUUUCACUGAUGAGAUUGGGCUUGAAUGGACUCCGGAUGACCAAUUCACCUUUGGAGAAAGAACUAACGUUUCUCUCACGAAUGAGACAAGAACACAAUAUACAACAUUGAGAUACUUCCCAGCCGAUGACAGAAAGUACUGUUACACUUUAAACGUGACCACUAGGACAAGAUACUUAAUAAGGGCGACAUUCUUGUAUGGGGACUUUGACAGCAAUAACGUCUACCCAAACUUUGAGAUCUCCUUGGGACCUACUUUUUGGUCCACAAUUGUCAUUUCUGAUGCCAGUACUAUAGAAGUGCGAGAGCUCAUAUUUCUGGCCUCAGAUCCUACCAUAAGUGUGUGCUUAUCUAAUGCUACCACGGGCAACCCAUUCAUAUCUACCCUUGAGCUUCGUCAGUUCAAUGGUUCGAUGUACUUCACUGGCUUUGAAAACCAGUUUUAUCUCAGUACCUCUGCCCGGAUUAAUUUUGGUGCAGAAAGUGAAGAGCCAAUCAGGUAGAUCUAGAACAUUGUGGAUGUAUUUCUUCCAGCUUUUAUUUCUCGGCUGUUUGACUAGUUUCUCACCAACCUUGUAUUGUAUGAUUCCAGUUUUAAAAGAGUCUAGACUAUGAAUAAGUUGUUUGUCCUUAUUGCUCACAUGCAGUUCUUCUUUGGUAGGUAUCCAGAUGAUCCAUUCGAUAGAAUAUGGGAGUCUGACUCUCUAAAGAGAGCAAACUACCUUAUCGAUGUGGCCGCUGGCACCAAAAAGAUUUCAACUCAAUUGCCAAUUGAUGUUAAUCAUGACGAGAGGCCACCUCAAAAAGUUAUGCAGACUGCUGUAGUCGGAACAAAUGGAUCGCUCACUUACCGCUUGAACUUGGAUGGGUUUCCUGGUAACAGUUGGGCAUAUUCCUACUUUGCAGAAAUUGAAGAUUUGGCUCCCGAAGACACAAGGAAAUUCAGGCUGAUGCUCCCAGGCGCACCUGAUAUCAGCAAAGCUGUUGUCAAUAUAAUGGAAAAUGCUCAAGGCAAAUAUCGCCUGUAUGAGCCAGGAUUUGAGAACCUAACCCUCCCAUUUGUAUACUCCUUUAAGUUUGGGCGGACAAUAGAUUCUUCAAAGGGUCCACUAUUGAAUGCCAUGGAGAUAAGCAAGUAUGUGAAGAAAAUCGAUGGUUCUCCAGAUGGUGGGUCCCUUGAUCAAUUUCCAUUGAGUUUGUUACCGUUUGCAAGAUUGUUGCUAAUGCGAUGAUCAUAUUAUGAUUUAUCACACUUGGUGUGGGCUUGUAGAGCCCUGUUUCUGGCACAUCUAAUUUAUUAUGCUAAAUCCACCCUUUGUCAGCAUGAUAUAUGUAGUUUUAUUAAUUUAACUUAAGGUUUUUCCAUGAGCUGCAGGAGGAGUUAUUGCUAGCAUAAUUUCACACUAUACCUCAGCAGCUUGGGCACAGGAAGGUGGAGACCCGUGUCUGCCAGUUCCAUGGACAUGGGUGCAUUGCAGCUCAGAUUCACCUCCACUGAUAACUGCAGUGUAUAUGUCUACUUCUUGUGAUGUGCUUGUGUGAACACAUUUUCUUAUUCUAGGAGCAUGUCAACGCUGUAUGAACGACUGAGUUUUGAAGUUAUAAAUUGUAUUUCCGCAGCAAAUUGUCUGGUCAGAAUUUGACCGGAAACAUACCUUCAGACAUUACAAAAUUGAGCGGCUUGGUUGAGCUGUAAGUUUAUGUAGAAAUUCCCUUUUCACUCGAUAGUAGUUGAUUUCUUUCCGAUGUCUAUGCUUGAACUUUUCAUGCCAAAUGUUGAAGUAUGCCUUGGCCUAUUUUCUGAAGGAGGCUGGAUGGGAAUGCACUCACUGGUUCAAUACCCGAUCUUUCUUCAUGCGUGAACCUGGAGAUCAUGUAAGCUACAUGGAUUGUCCUCUUUGAAUGGACUUAGAUAAUUUAAUGCUGAUGAAUUUCUUUUGUGAUAGUCAUCUCGAGAACAACCAAUUGACUGGUGAGCUGCCUUCUUCUCUCGCGACUCUGCCAAAGUUGAAGGAACUGUAAGUGUUCUUAAACUUACAUGAGGAUUUCUCAUUUGCCAUGGUGACAAUUCAAAGAACUAGCGUGCCAUCUUUCUGAAUUUCACAUGUGGAUCUGACUGAUAUGUGAUUCUCGGGCCUUGAAUGAAGUAUCGAUAUAAUUGUUGAUUAGUGAACAAUUUUCUGUGAUGACUUUUGUGCUGCGUCUGAGUAAAAACCUUAUGCACAUGCUAAAUUUGACGGUUGUAGGUACGUCCAGAAUAACAAGUUAUCAGGCACAGUGCCAUCUGGUCUUCUCAACAAAAAUUUGAAUCUGAAGUGGGUACAGCCUCUGAUAAGUCUUACUGCGAUGCUGAAUGCUCCUGCAAUCAUGCACACAUCACACUUUAUCUCAUUACAAUUAACUUCAAUCAAGUUAUUCCGUGUAUGUUGGUCUAAUUGCAAAGGGCCAACAAAAGAAGGGAAAUUUUUUUAUUUUUGUUGGCAUGAUGCAGUAGAUAACACAAAAAUUAUGGCUGUUGGUGAGACCAACAACACACUGUUACUUUGUCAUAAAAAUUAUCCAGUAUUUACUGUUGGCCUUAUUAAUUUGAAUGAAAGGUUUCUCAGACGUGGAUAACAGACAUUUUGGAGCUCAGAUCCUUAUCUAGCCAAAAGUUUUAUGUGUCAUUCUUUAGCGGUUGUCGGGGUUAGCCUUUUGAUCUGUAGAGAUCCUUCAUUCUGAAAGGUUUCUCAGACGUGGAUAACAGACAUUUUGGAGCUCAGAUCCUUAUCUAGCCAAAAGUUUUAUGUGUCAUUCUUUAGCGGUUGUUGGGGUUAGCCUUUUGAUCUGUAGAGAUCCUUCAUUCUGUCACCUUAUUUUGUUUUGUAGUUACCAGAUUAACUUUUGAUCAGUUGAUUAUGGCAAAGCAAACGGCUUGUUCUCUUGCUAAGUUUUUGGUGGUACCAUGCCUUCUAAUUGCUUCAAUCUAUGGUUGAAGCUGCCACAACUUUUGCAGAACAACAUAAUCAUCAUUGUAUAAUUUAUACUUCUCUCAUAGUGAAAGGAUGUCCUUUAGAGAUCCAUAUUUUAGGAGUUCCAUUUUCAUACCUGGAAUUUUAGGCGCAGUUUGUGUUUUGGCGCCAGAUGUGGUAUUACAGCACGACAGAUAGCUUCUACUGGCAACUUAUCUCAAUGCUUUCUCACAUUUUCUCGAACUCUUUCUUUUAACCCCUAUAGAUAUUUAUAUCUGGACUUGGUUCAUCAUUCUUUCAAACUGAGUUUUUACUUUUCCAUACUUUUUGCCGCACCUGUAUCCUUGUCCAAUUAUUUAUCAGUAGCUUCUUAACGCUGAUGUCAACAGUUACACUGGAAAUAUGAUUCUUCAUGAAGGAGGGAAUAGAGGAAGCCAGACUAAGAUUAUCAUUAGUUCAUCAGUCGGAGCUGCUGUUCUCCUGGUAGCGACAAUUGCCUCCUGUCUCUUCAUAUGGAAAGGAAAGAGGAAUUCUAAGCAUGGUAUGAGUUUGUAGCAAUCAAGAGAAUGACGUAUCCAUCUUGUUUUGUUUACCUCUCUAUUCUGCAAUAUUCUUAUUUUUUCGUGUAAUCUUUGCAAGCUGACAACGUGCAAGUAUUGCCGAUGGAGCGGCUAGUUUCUUCCUUGAGUUAUGCUCCUACAGGAGCUGCUCAUUGCUUUAUGCUAUCAGAAAUUGAAGAAGACACAAACAAAUUUGAGAAAAAAAUUGGUUCUGGGGGAUUUGGAGAUGUCUUUUAUGGGAAACUGAAAGAUGGAAGAGAAAUUGCAGUCAAGGUUCUGACUAAUGAUUCCUAUCAAGGAAAGCGAGAGUUCUUAAAUGAGGUAAUUGUACCAAAUUUGGAACCCUUUAUGUUUAGGGAUGCUUAGCUUCUGUAGUCUCUGCCGGAAUCUGCCACAUGAAUUUGUCACGAGUUAAUGUCCUUUUCUUUACCUACGAGGGGUAAGCACAUGCUACUACUGGGAUCUUCUUGACUAAACUCAAAUCCCUAGGGGAGUGAAUAAUGAAAUAACUCCUUGCCCAUUUAACGGGAAUUCCGUGUGCUACUACUGGUAUCUCUUGACUAAACUCAAAUCCCUAGAGCAGUGAAUAAAGAAAUAACUCCUUGCCCGUUUAACGGGAAUUCAGUAUAUUUACCCUUUUUUUGUCCUAAAAUUUUAUUGCUGCAUAGUCUUUCGUGUUGAUGUUUCUGAAGCAUUUUCUUUGAAUUACUAUCUGAAUAUCAUCCAACCUUUUGUCACUUAGAUUAAUUUUCAAGAAACUAGUACUCUGCACUGACAAAAUUGUCAUUAGCAUCAAUUAUCAGCUACAUCGUCUAACUAAUGCUGUAAGUGAUCUAGGUGACUCUUCUUUCAAGAAUACAUCACAGGAAUUUGGUAGAAUUCCUUGGAUAUUGCCAAGAAGACGGGAGAAACAUGCUGGUUUACGAGUUCAUGCAUAAUGGAACUCUUAAAGAGCACCUCAUGCAUAAUGGAACUCUUAAAGAGCACCUAUAUGGUAAGCCCAUACGCUUUCGUCAUGCCAUGAGCCUGUUAUCACCUGUCUUUAGUAAUUCCGUAUAUCUAUCCCUAAGGUCCAUUGACUCGUGAGUGGAAUUUUAAUUGGAUCAAACGCCUUGAGAUUGCCGAAGAUGCUGCAAGAGGUCAGUAAUCCUCUAUAAACUGGUUUACUUCCCUGAAGAAGUCAUUUUACCUACCGAAGUUGGUAAUCUUAUUCAUUGUGUUCAGGGAUCGAGUACCUUCACACUGGAUGUGUUCCAGCCAUCAUACAUAGAGAUUUGAAAGGUAGCAACAUUCUUCUGGACAGCAACUUGAGAGCAAAAGUUUCAGAUUUUGGUCUCUCAAAAUCUCAAGUUGAUGAAGUCUCCCAUGUCUCAAGUGCGAUUCGAGGAACUGUUGGGUAUCUGGACCCCGAGUAAGGCAUCUUUUUGAUCGCGCCUUCUGUUUUUCAACUAAUAUAUAGUUUUUUGAAGUUGAAGCAAGUUAAUAUGGUGUCAUUAUGUCUUGAUGCAUUUUUUAUCUUUAAAUUGGGAAAACAUCACCUCGGGCAUGUUUUGAAAAAUUUGACUAGGCAAGCUUUGCACUUAUUCAUGAAUGUGUCUCGGGUGUCUCGGCCUUCUCACUUUCCCUUCUGAGUGUUGACAAAAGCCUUCCUGCUUCGAUAAUUGCAUUCUUUAUGCUGGCUCUAGGCUACCCAUGCGAAGACUUAUGUUUGUGUCUCGCCUUAUCAUUCUUCUUGGCUCAAUGCCCCUACUCUCACCGCAACGAGGAGAUGCAGUCGUCUCCAUUUUGUACCUUAAGGCCAUUAGAAAAUGAUGUUCAUUGGAAAUUGCAUUCGCAACUUAUCUGUCAC